RNAcentral lists this transfer-messenger RNA (422 nucleotides) under Chlamydia psittaci. RNAcentral's name for it is "transfer-messenger RNA, SsrA". It matches the Rfam family "transfer-messenger RNA". Rfam says of the family: Bacterial tmRNA, also known as 10Sa RNA or SsrA, is named for its dual tRNA and mRNA-like properties. Its role is to liberate the mRNA from a stalled ribosome. RNAcentral also lists the same sequence under 1 other name. The record is from RNAcentral. Lineage: Bacteria; Pseudomonadati; Chlamydiota; Chlamydiia; Chlamydiales; Chlamydiaceae.
GGGGGUGUAUAGGUUUCGACUUGGGAAUGAAGUGUUAAUCGCAUGCGGAGGGCGUUGGCUGGCCUCCUAAAAAGCCGACAAAACAAUAAAUGCCGAACCUAAGGCUGAAUGCGAAAUUAUCAGUUUCUCUGAACUCUCUGAGCAAAGAUUAGCUGCUUAAUUAGCAAAAGUUGUUAUUUAGAUAACCUCUAGAUAACCCGGUCCUCAUGGACUCUACCAGAGGUUUGUGAAGUACCGUCAUCUAUCUGGUUGGAAUCUACCUCCUCUAAUUCUCAGGGGGGUUGAUUCGAGAUUAUUGAGAGUCGUUGGUUUCCAUAGAUGUUCUUAGCUGAGGAAAUGCAAUGUAGUACCACUAGGGACUAAGCAUGUAGAAGUUAGCAGGGAAUUCACUAAGGACGAGAGUUCGAGUCUCUCCACCUCCA